CACAAGCGGUGGAGCAUGUGGUUUAAUUCGAAGCAACGCGAAGAACCUUACCAGGUCUUGACUAUCCUUUUGAAUGGUCUAGAGAUAGAUCAGGCCUUCGGGACAGAAGAGACAGGUGGUGCAUGGUUGUCGUCAGCUCGUGUCGUGAGAUGUUGGGUUAAGUCCCGCAACGAGCGCAACCCUUAUCAUUAGUUGCUAACAUUCAGUUGAGAACUCUAAUGAGACUGCCAGUGAUAAACUGGAGGAAGGUGGGAUGACGUCAAAUCAUCAUGCCCCUUAUGACCUGGGCUACACACGUGCUACAAUGGCCGGUACAAAGAGUUGCGAAACUGUGAAGUUAAGCUAAUCUCAUAAAGCCGGUCUCAGUUCGGAUUGUAGUCUGCAACUCGACUACAUGAAGUCGGAAUCGCUAGUAAUCGCGAAUCAGAAUGUCGCGGUGAAUACGUUCUCGAGUCUU
This 457-nucleotide ribosomal RNA is filed under the name uncultured Bacillota bacterium. RNAcentral's name for it is "bacterial SSU rRNA". It matches the Rfam family "Bacterial small subunit ribosomal RNA", at positions 924 to 1382 of the family's 1533-position model. The record is from RNAcentral. Lineage: Bacteria; Bacillati; Bacillota.